RNAcentral lists this long non-coding RNA (211 nucleotides) under Elaeis guineensis (African oil palm). RNAcentral describes it as "long non-coding RNA (EGUI_LNC033159)". Lineage: Eukaryota; Viridiplantae; Streptophyta; Magnoliopsida; Arecales; Arecaceae. The record is from RNAcentral.
UGCCUCAAUAGUGGUAUUAUUACCUAUGACUGACUUGAAUUGAUGGGUUUUGGUAGUUCACUUGAUGUACUCCUAUUAUUUUGUUCUAGAUAGUUAAUACCAUAAGUUACGGUUAAUACCAUAAGUUUUGGUAUACUUCAGAAAUUAUGGGGGGAAGAUCUUUUUUUAUAAAAAGAUUUAAAUAGGACUAAGAUCCUAAAGUUAUUGAGGG